CCCGCUGAGUUUAAGCAUAUAAAUAAGCGAAGGAGAAGAAACUUACAAGGAUUCCCCUAGUAACAGCGAGCGAACCGGGA
This 80-nucleotide ribosomal RNA is filed under the name Triticum dicoccoides. RNAcentral's name for it is "rRNA LSU_rRNA_eukarya". It matches the Rfam family "Eukaryotic large subunit ribosomal RNA", at positions 24 to 103 of the family's 3401-position model. Lineage: Eukaryota; Viridiplantae; Streptophyta; Magnoliopsida; Poales; Poaceae. The record is from RNAcentral.